This 376-nucleotide unclassified non-coding RNA is filed under the name uncultured Terriglobia bacterium. Its description in RNAcentral is "uncultured Acidobacteriia bacterium contains 16S-23S intergenic spacer region". Lineage: Bacteria; Pseudomonadati; Acidobacteriota; Terriglobia. The record is from RNAcentral.
UCCGACUUGACGUCGGCAGUCCCAUUAGAGUGCCCAACUGAAUGUAGCAACUAAUGGCAAGGGUUGCGCUCGUUGCGGGACUUAACCCAACAUCUCACGACACGAGCUGACGACAGCCAUGCAGCACCUCGACUCUACUCCCUUGCGGGAUAUCUGUGUUUCCACAAACGUUGAAAAGCCGUUCGAGCCCAGGUAAGGUUCCUCGCGUAGCGUCGAAUUGAACCACAUGUUCCACCGCUUGUGCGGGCCCCCGUCAAUUCCUUUGAGUUUCAGUCUUGCGACCGUACUCCCCAGGUGCAGGACUUAACGCGUUAGCUCCGGGACGCUCCACGAACGUGAAGCACCCCAAGUCCUGAUCGUUUAGGGCUAGGACUAC